This 253-nucleotide ribosomal RNA is filed under the name uncultured bacterium. RNAcentral's name for it is "partial 16S ribosomal RNA". It matches the Rfam family "Bacterial small subunit ribosomal RNA", at positions 524 to 776 of the family's 1533-position model. The record is from RNAcentral.
GACGGAGGUGGCGAGCGUUGUCCGGAGUCACUGGGCGUAAAGCGCGCGCAGGCGGCGGACCAAGUGUGGUGUGAAAGCCCGCGGCUUAACUCGGGAAGGGCGCUGCAGACUGGGCGGCUCGAGCUGGGGAGAGGGACGUCGAAUUCCGGGUGUAGCGGUGAAAUGCGUAGAGAUCGGGAGGAAGACCGGGGGCGAAGGCAGCGGGCUGGCCGCAUGCUGACGCUGAGGCGCGACAGCGUGGGGAGCAAACCGG